Molecule: ribosomal RNA, 494 nt
Filed under: uncultured bacterium
Lineage: Bacteria
Description: partial 16S ribosomal RNA
Rfam family: Bacterial small subunit ribosomal RNA
Source: RNAcentral
GACGAACGCUGGCGGCGUGCCUAAUACAUGCAAGUCGAACGGUCAAACGCGUAGCUUUCUCCUCUGAGUUGAGGGGCGGACGGGUGAGUAACACGUGGUUAACCUCCCUCUCAGUUUUGGAUAACUACCGCAUACCAGAGCUACUACCGCAUAAUAUUUUGAGCCUCAUGGUUCAUUAGUGAGGGACGGAUUUUCUUUCGGUUAUGGAUGGACUCGCGCCGUAUUAGCUAGUUGGUAGGGUAACGGCCUACCAAGGCAACGAUGGGUAGCCGGCCUGAGAGGGUGGUCGGCCACACUGGGACUGAGACACGGCACAGACUCCUAAGGGAGGCAGCAGUGGGGAAUAGUGCACAAUGGGCGCAAGCCUGAUGCAGCGACGCCGCGUGAGGGAUGGAGGCCUUCGGGUUGUGAACCUCUUUCGCAAGUGAAGCAGGCCUGCCUCGUUUGUGGGUGGGUUGACGGUAGCUGGAGAAGAAGCGCCGGCUAACUACGUG